Molecule: non-coding RNA, 29 nt
Filed under: Rattus norvegicus (Norway rat)
Lineage: Eukaryota; Metazoa; Chordata; Mammalia; Rodentia; Muridae
Source: RNAcentral
UCCCAGCUGCAGUUAACCUGAGGAGUGGG